This 392-nucleotide ribosomal RNA is filed under the name uncultured bacterium. RNAcentral describes it as "partial 16S ribosomal RNA". It matches the Rfam family "Bacterial small subunit ribosomal RNA", at positions 523 to 918 of the family's 1533-position model. The record is from RNAcentral.
AUACGGAGGAUCCGAGCGUUAUCCGGAUUUAUUGGGUUUAAAGGGUGCGCAGGCGGCCAUUUAAGUCAGCGGUUAAAUCGUGGGGCUCAACCCCAUUCUGCCGUUGAUACUGGGUGGCUUGAUUGCGGUCGAGGUUGGCGGAAUUCGUUGUGUAGCGGUGAAAUGCAUAGAUAUGACGAAGAACACCGAUUGCGGAGGCAGCUGGCCAGACCGCAAAUGACGCUCAUGCACGAAAGUGCGGGGAUCGAACAGGAUUAGAUACCCUGGUAGUCCGCACAGUAAACGAUGAAUACUUGUUUUCGGCGAUAGAAUGUCGGAGGCAAAGCGAAAGCGAUAAGUAUUCCACCUGGGGAGUACGCCGGCAACGGUGAAACUCAAAGGAAUUGGCGGGG